This 253-nucleotide ribosomal RNA is filed under the name uncultured bacterium. Its description in RNAcentral is "partial 16S ribosomal RNA". It matches the Rfam family "Bacterial small subunit ribosomal RNA", at positions 524 to 776 of the family's 1533-position model. The record is from RNAcentral.
UACAGAGGUCUCAACCGUCGUCCGGAAUUAUUGGGCGUAAAGCGCGCGCAGGCGGUCCUUUAAGUCUGAUGUGAAAGCCCACGGCUCAACCGUGGAGGGUCAUUGGAAACUGGGGGACUUGAGUGCAAAAGAGGAAAGCGGAAUUCCACGUGUAGCGGUGAAAUGCGUAGAGAUGUGGAGGAACACCAGUGGCGAAGGCGGCUUUCUGGUCUGUAACUGACGCUGAGGCGCGAAAGCGUGGGGAGCAAACAGG